Molecule: RNA transcript, 1550 nt
Organism: Myotis lucifugus (little brown bat)
Lineage: Eukaryota; Metazoa; Chordata; Mammalia; Chiroptera; Vespertilionidae
Exons: 3
Source: RefSeq, a predicted model, not a curated record
CCAUCAGAGGCCAAGUCAAAGUCAAGGCAGGGGAAUCACUGAGGAAAGAGUGUGCCUACCUUUUGGACGCAGCCUUAGGGUGUCCAGAUCACGGGUGUGAUGGAGUGCGCGCCGUCCCUGCCCCGCGAGGCGGCCAGCCGGGCUGCCGGUGCAGAUGUCUGAUUCCAACCUUGUGCUCAUCCACCCCGUUGUGCUCCUGACGGGAGAAACUGUAUCUGUAACAACCCUUACAGAACCUGUGGCGAAAGGAAAAGCCAUCCCAGGCGACGGCAAAGCUGGGCCCAGCAGAAACUGACCAGCGGGAACUGAGGGUGACUUCAGAGAAACGGCUGGAGGACAGUUGGGUAGAAGUGUUGUUUUUCUUCCCUGUGGCCCCUGAGAAUAUAUCCAGGCCAAGGAACUGUAAGCCCAUCUCACGUGGAGUCCUGUGCACCCAUGUUCAUAGGAGCGUUAGUCACAACCGCCAGAGGGCGGAGGCAGUCAGCGGACGGGCAAACAAGAUGCAUAAAGAACAUACGGUGUCCCCGGAGCACAGAGCGGAAGACCCCCCGGAGAGCAGCGGCGCGACCGAAGCCCCGGGCAGCAGCCAGGAGAGGCCGGAGAGGCGGUCGGUCAUCUUGUACGACUGCUCGGAGGAGGAGCUGAUGGCCAGCAUCGAGCAGGAGUACUGCCACUGAGGCCCCGCCGGACCGGCCUCCGGGAGCCUGGGCUGGGGGUGCACCCUGCCCCUCCCGGGCCGAGCUAGCUGGAGCUGAGCUGCUGCCCACAGGCAGCUACGCACGGACUUUCAAACCGUUUCCCACCCACAUCAGAGGGUCCGGAGCUCGCCAGCCGCCGGCCUGCGUGCUGCCGCCAGGAGGUGGUCAUCGGGGCGGCCGGCCGGAGGGAGUCGCCUGAGUUCUGCAGGUGAAUGUCCUGGAGAUGAAAUGCAGAUUCUGACUCGGCGGGGCCGUGGGGGCCUCCGAGCCCGCAUUUCUAACGGGCUCCCAGGUGAGACCACCUGCGGGCUCCCAGCCUCCCCUGAGGAGCAGGACUGAUGGAGUCUGUGCAGGAGGCUGCCUCCCAAAGGGAUCCUGCCCGCUGGGCCUCAGGGAGUCCUGGAGGCUCUGCCCACUCUGACAACUGGGAUCGCAGGGUUCCAGGCUCCCUGCCCUGCCUGGUUCCCACCCACCCCGCCCCCUGGGCACGGAACCGCCCGCCUGGAGAGGCUUGCGGGGCCACCUGCCCUCACCUGGCCGGUGCUGCGGGGCCUGGUCCUGGCCUCCCCGGCGGAGGGAGUGGACAUCAGCAGAGAGGCCAGAGGAGACUGACAGAGACAAGGCUGCCCAGGACGCCCCUCCAUCACAGGCUGGUCCAGGACUGCAGCCUGACGGGCAGGCGGGGAGGCGGGACUUCCGGCGUGGCCCAGGUGUGGCUGCUCCCGGAAGCCGGAAGCGGAAGCACAGGGAGAGGCGUGGUCCGGAAGCCCCGAGACCUGCCCCCCGGAGCGCUGGUGAGGGCAGCCCGCAAAGGGGCACGUGGCGGCCGGAUCCGGAAGAGGUCCCGGCUAG